Non-coding RNA from Nelumbo nucifera (sacred lotus), 1327 nucleotides. The record is from RefSeq and is a predicted model, not a curated record. Lineage: Eukaryota; Viridiplantae; Streptophyta; Magnoliopsida; Proteales; Nelumbonaceae.
AAGCUUGCACGUGUGGGUUCUGAGGUGGACAAAGCCCGAUGGAUGAUAGCUUGGUUCUGAGCUUAGCUGUUGGAAGACCGAUGGAUGGUGGACGGUGAACGGUGGAGGAUAGUCCGACGUAUAAAGGCUAAGCACAACACUGAAAUAUGAAUAGUCUAUCUCCGAUAGACCCACAUUCAAAAUAGUCCGAUAGUCCGAUGGACUCUAAGAACGAUUUCUUCUGGGGAGCGGAGAGGGAGAGAGACAGUGUAGGAGCGAGAGGGAGACAGAAGAGACAGUGUGGGAGCGAGAGGGAGAGAGGGCAUAUGGACGAUUGGCUCUGUUUAGCUCUACUUUGCUCUAUUUUUUUUUCUUUCUUUGGCUGAUUGGCUCUGGUUUUGGUUUGUUUCUUUCGUUGGUUUUGUUGCUCCUUCAACCUUUUUUCUAUUUAGUUUGGUUUUCUUGUUAGGGUUCGCUUGGGGUUUAACUACAAGGAUUUGUUUAUGUUUUGCAUUUUUUCGAGUUUUUGGGUGCAAGGCAUGCAUGUUUCGGUGGAGGCGCUAUUUCUGGUUGCAGUUGUGGUUUUUGGGUUAGAGCUUUAAUUGUGUUUGCAGAGGCCGUCAACAGUGGUGGUGGUUGGUCGUGGUUAAAGCUUUGGUUGGCCACGGACCACGAUUUCCCCACGGUGGUGGCUCCGCGUCCGCAACGGAGCAUGGGUUCUCGCAUGCCUUCUCUUUGUUGGGUAUGCUGGUAUUUGGAGUGGAUUCGUGGAAGGUGGUUUGUGGUUUUUCUCUUCGUCCUACAGUUAAUGGAAACUGAUGAUGGACACGGUUUUCUACCAAGAAGGUGGUAGGCAUGAGAGAUCUAGAGAGAGAAAAAGGGUAUAGAAAUUGAAAAAACAGUGAGGAUGUGACAUUCGACGAAGAUUUGAGCAGAAGACAACCGUCGUUCGUACCCUUUUUGGCUUAAGUGAUGUGGGCUAUUUUUCUUUUUUGGUUUUCAAUGGUAUCAAAUGGUGGCUUGUGCAUGGACCAAAGUCAGCAAAGUCAGGUAGGCUGAGACUUGGGACUUGGGAGGGCCGGAGGGGGUGGUUGUUGAAUUUACCAUGCAACUGAAUUAGAUGUAGAGAAAAGAUAGAGAGUAUGGGUAGGUUCGCAAGCAUCACAAAAGAGCAGAAAAACAAAAACAAGAAAAAUGGAUUCAUUGUCCGCUAAACUGUUUUUAUGCUCUUAAUAUGGGUCUAUGUGAAAUUAUGAAUAAAGUUGCACUCAUUUGUAAGAUUUUUGAUAAGACCAUACGAUGGGGCUUUGUUGAUAUGUCAGUUCACAUCGGAAAUGGGGCUUCGUUA